AUAACACUUCUUAAUUAACUCAAAGCAGAAACCAUGAAGAAAAAGUUCUCCUCUUAUUUGGGGAAUGGAUUUCAGAAGAGACCAGAAGAUGUUCUCAUGUUCUCACCACAGGGAAGGCAGAAGCACAGAGCCCCACAGGCUAAGAAAAUGAGUUCCUAGAAUCUUCUACCUCCACGGCGGAUCCCCUGAUGCCACUCCAAACUUCUGUAAUUGCACUCACAUAUGUGUAUUCCAGAUUUGAUGUGGAAGGAAAAGGCAGUUACCGAGUGCUCAGUCUGCCAUCUUGAAAUAGAAAUCAGAGAUACCAUUUCAUGAGGACUGUCCAGGCAUACUUUUGCUUGAGUUCCUUAGAGGCCUGGAGCACUGACUGCAGGUUGCCAUCCACCUGCAUCGUGGUGACCUUGACCGUAUGGUGAGAGGCCAGCAGAGUUGCAUGGACAGCUUCUGUAUUGCUCAUGUUCCUGCAUGGCAAACACAGGUGAAGCUCAUCAUCUUCCACCAGCAGCUGCUGCAGAAGGAUAGGUCAAUGCCACCGGGAGGGCAGUUCAGACACAGAAUGUGCAUUAUCUGGAUGGCAUCAGGUAGAGGCAUUUCUCUCUGGUUCAGAAAACUGAUUUUGACUGUUUUGGUUCCAAGCAGGAGCCCAAGGAAAGAUUUUUUAAAGACUUAAAAAUCUUUUAAGUAAAGGAAAGAGGGAACUCACACUCUAAUAGCCACUUACUUAGUGUACUGUCAGCAAUGAGAGCUGUACUUUUCCAUUGCUCAUUGCUCUAUUGAGAUUAUUCUGAGGCACGUUAUCAUCCUGCAUUUACUACGCAACUGAUAUCUAAGGGUGAUUACAAACCAUCCAUAGCAAGUGUU
This 861-nucleotide small RNA is filed under the name Pan troglodytes (chimpanzee). Its description in RNAcentral is "processed transcript". Lineage: Eukaryota; Metazoa; Chordata; Mammalia; Primates; Hominidae. The record is from RNAcentral.